GCAUCUGUUCAGAGGAACAGCGAGUCUCUUCUACAUUAGCAUCAGUCUCUGUUCGCUUCUACCCACACUGAGGGAGAUCCAGUGAGGCCCUCGCUCUGGUAUUCUGGACAGCCUGAACCCUGAGGUUGCUCCUCCUGCCUCCAAAGUGCAUCACACAGGUCUCCGGGAGCACCGAAGCAGUGGAAGCAGCCAGGAGAAGAAUCAAGAGAAUACCUGAAAUUCUCAGUAUUCAAAAACACCUGUGGUGCUGGUUGAGGUACUGAACACUGAGCUCACUGGAAAGCUUUGUAUUAAUAAUUGCUUCACUGAGUUAUCCUGUCUUCUGGCCCAGCCAAGGAGGGAUCAGCACGUAUCCGGGUCAUGGAGGGAAAGUACAGGCGAGCCCCAAAGGCCAUUUUACUUGGCUCUGACUCACCCUGACUCUCCAGUGAAGCAGAAAGGAGGAAACAUCACACCUCCCAGGUGUGGCCAGCCUUUGACCACUAUUGCAAAUCCCUGAGAGUCACCCAGUCCCUUCCCAAGUACACUUUUAGCUUUAGAGACUUCUGGCUCAAGGAAAGCU
This 562-nucleotide long non-coding RNA is filed under the name Bos taurus (domestic cattle). RNAcentral describes it as "long non-coding RNA NONBTAT000450". The record is from RNAcentral. Lineage: Eukaryota; Metazoa; Chordata; Mammalia; Artiodactyla; Bovidae.